RNAcentral lists this unclassified non-coding RNA (122 nucleotides) under Rhodotorula toruloides. The record is from RNAcentral. Lineage: Eukaryota; Fungi; Basidiomycota; Microbotryomycetes; Sporidiobolales; Sporidiobolaceae.
UAGUCAGGGUCGCCCUCGAGCGGAAGUAGAGGAUUCCUCGCUAACGCAGGUUUCAACUCCGUAUGACUUCGCAGGAUCCGCAAUCUCGUCGACUUGGGCGCCAAAGUCGUCGUCGACGGAUC